AACGUCGUGAGACAGUUCGGUCCCUAUCUGCCGUGGGCGUAUGAGAUUUGAGAGGAGCUGCUCCUAGUACGAGAGGACCGGAGUGAACGAACCUCUGGUGUUCGGGUUGUCACGCCAGUGGCAUUGCCGGGUAGCUAUGUUCGGAAAGGAUAACCGCUGAAGGCAUCUAAGCGGGAAGCCCCCCUCGAGAUGAGGUUUGGUAGCUUUGCGAAAGACCCCUGGUAGACGACCAGGUUGAUAGGCCGCGCGUGCAAGGGUUGAGAAGCCCUCAGCGGAGCGGUACUAAC
Molecule: ribosomal RNA, 287 nt
Filed under: Isochrysis galbana
Lineage: Eukaryota; Haptophyta; Isochrysidales; Isochrysidaceae
Description: partial Bacterial large subunit ribosomal RNA
Rfam family: Bacterial large subunit ribosomal RNA
Source: RNAcentral